This 216-nucleotide ribosomal RNA is filed under the name uncultured bacterium. RNAcentral describes it as "partial 16S ribosomal RNA". It matches the Rfam family "Bacterial small subunit ribosomal RNA", at positions 125 to 334 of the family's 1533-position model. The record is from RNAcentral.
CCGUAGCCUGGUAGCGGGGGAUAACUAUUGGAAACGAUAGCUAAUACCGCAUAAGAGUAGAUGUUGCAUGACAUUUGCUUAAAAGGUGCAAUUGCAUCACUACCAGAUGGACCUGCGUUGUAUUAGCUAGUUGGUGGGGUAACGACUCACCAAGGCGACGAUACAUAGCCGACCUGAGAGGGUGAUCGGCCACACUGGGACUGAGACACGGCCCAG